UAAUGGCUCACCAAGGCAACGAUCCGUAGCUGGUCUGAGAGGAUGAUCAGCCACAUCGGGACUGAGACACGGCCCGAACUCCUACGGGAGGCAGCAGUGGGGAAUAUUGGACAAUGGGCGAAAGCCUGAUCCAGCCAUGCCGCGUGUGUGAAGAAGGCCCUCGGGUUGUAAAGCACUUUCAGCGAGGAAGAACGCCUAGUGGUUAAUACCCAUUAGGAAAGACAUCACUCGCAGAAGAAGCACCGGCUAACUCCGUGCCAGCAGCCGCGGUAAUACGGAGGGUGCAAGCGUUAAUCGGAAUUACUGGGCGUAAAGCGCGCGUAGGUGGCUUGAUAAGCCGGUUGUGAAAGCCCCGGGCUCAACCUGGGAACGGCAUCCGGAACUGUCAAGCUAGAGUGCAGGAGAGGAAGGUAGAAUUCCCGGUGUAGCGGUGAAAUGCGUAGAGAUCGGGAGGAAUACCAGUGGCGAAGGCGGCCUUCUGGACUGACACUGACACUGAGGUGCGAAAGCGUGGGUAGCAAACAGGAUUAGAUACCCUGGUAGUCCACGCCGUAAACGAUGUCGACCAGCCGUUGGGUGCCUAGCGCACUUUGUGGCGAAGUUAACGCGAUAAGUCGACCGCCUGGGGAGUACGGCCGCAAGGUUAAAACUCAAAUGAAUUGACGGGGGCCCGCACAAGCGGUGGAGCAUGUGGUUUAAUUCGAUGCAACGCGAAGAACCUUACCUACUCUUGACAUCCUGCGAACUUGUGAGAGAUCACUUGGUGCCUUCGGGAACGCAGAGACAGGUGCUGCAUGGCUGUCGUCAGCUCGUGUUGUGAAAUGUUGGGUUAAGUCCCGUAACGAGCGCAACCCUUGUCCUUAUUUGCCAGCGGGUAAUGCCGGGAACUCUAAGGAGACUGCCGGUGACAAACCGGAGGAAGGUGGGGACGACGUCAAGUCAUCAUGGCCCUUACGAGUAGGGCUACACACGUGCUACAAUGGCCGGUACAAAGGGUUGCGAGCUCGCGAGAGUCAGCUAAUCCCGAAAAGCCGGUCUCAGUCCGGAUCGGAGUCUGCAACUCGACUCCGUGAAGUCGGAAUCGCUAGUAAUCGUGAAUCAGAAUGUCACGGUGAAUACGUUCCCGGGCCUUGUACACACCGCCCGUCACACCAUGGGAGUGGACUGCACCAGAAGUGGUUAGCUUAACCUUC
This 1193-nucleotide ribosomal RNA is filed under the name uncultured Halomonas sp. RNAcentral describes it as "bacterial SSU rRNA". It matches the Rfam family "Bacterial small subunit ribosomal RNA", at positions 258 to 1443 of the family's 1533-position model. Lineage: Bacteria; Pseudomonadati; Pseudomonadota; Gammaproteobacteria; Oceanospirillales; Halomonadaceae. The record is from RNAcentral.